UACGGGGGGAGCAAGCGUUGUUCGGAUUUACUGGGCGUAAAGGGCGCGUAGGCGGUCAGCACAAGUCAGUUGUGAAAUCUCCGGGCUUAACUCGGAAAGGUCAACUGAUACUGUGCGACUAGAGUGCAGAAGGGGCAACUGGAAUUCCGGGUGGAGUGGUGAAAUGCGUAGAGAUCCGGAGGAACACCGAAGGCGAAGGCAGUGUCCUGGCGAGUGACUGACGCUGAGGUGCGAAAGCCAGGGGAGCGAGCGGG
This 254-nucleotide ribosomal RNA is filed under the name uncultured bacterium. Its description in RNAcentral is "partial 16S ribosomal RNA". It matches the Rfam family "Bacterial small subunit ribosomal RNA", at positions 524 to 776 of the family's 1533-position model. The record is from RNAcentral.